RNAcentral lists this transfer RNA (73 nucleotides) under Ictidomys tridecemlineatus (thirteen-lined ground squirrel). RNAcentral's name for it is "Spermophilus tridecemlineatus (thirteen-lined ground squirrel) tRNA". It matches the Rfam family "tRNA". From Rfam's summary of the family: Transfer RNA (tRNA) molecules are approximately 80 nucleotides in length. Their secondary structure includes four short double-helical elements and three loops (D, anti-codon, and T loops). Further hydrogen bonds mediate the characteristic L-shaped molecular structure. tRNAs have two regions of fundamental functional importance: the anti-codon, which is responsible for specific mRNA codon recognition, and the 3' end, to which the tRNAs corresponding amino acid is attached (by aminoacyl-tRNA synthetases). tRNAs cope with the degeneracy of the genetic code in two manners: having more than one tRNA (with a specific anti-codon) for a particular amino acid; and 'wobble' base-pairing, i.e. permitting non-standard base-pairing at the 3rd anti-codon position. Lineage: Eukaryota; Metazoa; Chordata; Mammalia; Rodentia; Sciuridae. The record is from Rfam by way of RNAcentral.
GGGGAUAUAGCUCAGUUGGUAGAGUGCUAGGCUUGCAUACAUAAGGCCCUGGGUUCAAUCCCCAGCACCACCA